RNAcentral lists this long non-coding RNA (1185 nucleotides) under Homo sapiens (human). RNAcentral describes it as "HSALNT0359738". Lineage: Eukaryota; Metazoa; Chordata; Mammalia; Primates; Hominidae. The record is from RNAcentral.
CGCAUGCAGGCUCCCGGGCCGGCUGCGGAAGCUGUGGGCCUGGACUGGGGGUAGCAGCAGAGGGGCGGCCAGCCUUGGGGAGCCGGCGGGAUCCAGAGCGGGGCUCCUCUCCGCACUUUGUAGCUGCGUUGCUCCGCUCCAUGCCCUGCCUCAGCCACUCCUCCUGGUUACCAGGCAAAAGGAAACACCUUGAGCUGGCCAGGAGCUACCAGCGUCUGUCUACACCUGGGAGUUCAGUGGCAUGACCAGGGCUCACUGCAACCUUGAUCUGGGCUCAAGUGAUCCUCCUACCUCAGCUUCCUGAGUAGCUAGGACCACAGGUGUGCACCAACCACACCCGACUAAUUUUUGUAGAGAUGAGAUCCCACUAUGUUACCCAGGCUGGUCUUGAACUCCUGGGCUCAGGUGAUCAUCCUGCCUUGGCUUCCCAAAGUACUGGGAUUAUAGGCUUGAGCCACCGUGCCUGGCCUGUGAUCAGAAUUCUCAUUUUUUUAGUCACUAAAAAUGCUGGGGGGCACUCCAUUCUCCAUUAUGUGAUUAGUUCACAUUGCAUGCUUGUAUCAAAACAUCAUAUAUACCCCACAAAUAUAUACAAAAAACUUUAAAAUUUUAAGUAUUAAUUGCUCAGGAAAAAAUUAAAAUGCUGGGGUGCUGAAAUCUCAAGGGCCCCAUUACAAAACUCCUUAGGAACCUCGCCCUCUCUCUGCUGUAAGGACUGGUUCCAGAAUGAGAGAAUUUAAAAGACAUUCCCCCCCCAAAAUGUUCAUAAUGUCACCCCGGAAACCUGCGAAUAUGUUAUAUUACAUGACCAGGGAGAAGUAAGGUUGCAGAUGGCAGUAAGGUUGCUAAUGGGCUGACCUUAAGAUAAGGAGAUGAUCCUGGAUUAUCUGGGUGGACCCAAUGUAAUCACAAGGGUCCUUAACUGUGGAAUAGUGAGGUGGCUGAGUCAGAGGCAGAGUGAUGCAAUGACUGAAAGACUUAACCAGCCAUCACCGGCUUUGAAUACGGAAGACGGUCAUGAGCCAGGGAAUGCAGGCAGGCUCUGGGAGCUGAAAAAAGCAAGAAAAUGGAUUCUCCCCUGGAGCCUCCAGAAGGGAUGCGGUCCUGCCAACCCCUUGUCAGUGAGCCAUUUCAGAUUUCUGACUUCCAGGACUGUAAGAAAAUAAACUUGUCUUGUUUUCAGCC